AUGCACGCUGGCGGCGUGCCUAAUACCUGCAAGUCGAGCGAACAGACGAGGAGCUUGCUCCUCUGACGUUAGCGGCGGACGGGUGAGUAACACGUGGAUAACCUACCUAUAAGACUGGGAUAACUUCGGGAAACCGGAGCUAAUACCGGAUAAUAUAUUGAACCGCAUGGUUCAAUAGUGAAAGACGGUUUUGCUGUCACUUAUAGAUGGAUCCGCGCCGCAUUAGCUAGUUGGUAAGGUAACGGCUUACCAAGGCGACGAUGCGUAGCCGACCUGAGAGGGUGAUCGGCCACACUGGAACUGAGACACGGUCCAGACUCCUACGGGAGGCAGCAGUAGGGAAUCUUCCGCAAUGGGCGAAAGCCUGACGGAGCAACGCCGCGUGAGUGAUGAAGGUCUUCGGAUCGUAAAACUCUGUUAUUAGGGAAGAACAAAUGUGUAAGUAACUAUGCACGUCUUGACGGUACCUAAUCAGAAAGCCACGGCCAACUACGUG
Molecule: ribosomal RNA, 496 nt
Filed under: uncultured bacterium
Lineage: Bacteria
Description: partial 16S ribosomal RNA
Rfam family: Bacterial small subunit ribosomal RNA
Source: RNAcentral